GACGAACCGUGCGAACGUUGUUCGGAAUCACUGGGCUUAAAGGGCGCGUAGGCGGAUGGGCAAGUCAGCGGUGAAAGCCCCCAGCUCAACUGGGGAAGUGCCCCUGAUACUGUUUAUCUGGAGGAAGGUAGGGGCACGUGGAACUUCCGGUGGAGCGGUGAAAUGCGUAGAGAUCGGAAGGAACACCGGUGGCGAAGGCGACGUGCUGGACCUUUUCUGACGCUGAGGCGCGAAAGCUAGGGGAGCGAAGAGG
This 253-nucleotide unclassified non-coding RNA is filed under the name uncultured Planctomycetia bacterium. RNAcentral describes it as "contains 16S-23S intergenic spacer region". It matches the Rfam family "Bacterial small subunit ribosomal RNA", at positions 524 to 776 of the family's 1533-position model. The record is from RNAcentral. Lineage: Bacteria; Pseudomonadati; Planctomycetota; Planctomycetia.